CUUUUGCUUAUUUUUUUGCUUGACGAGUUGGCGGACGGGUGAGUAAUGCUUGGGAAUAUGCCUUAUGGUGGGGGACAACAGUUGGAAACGACUGCUAAUACCGCAUAACAUCUCCGGAUCAAAGUGGGGGACCUUCGGGCCUCACGCCAUAAGAGUAGCCCAAGUGGGAUUAGCUAGUUGGUAAGGUAAUGGCUUACCAAGGCGACGAUCCCUAGUUGGUCUUAGAGGAUGACCAGCCACACUGGAACUGAGACACGGUCCAGACUCCUACGGGAGGCAGCAGUGGGGAAUAUUGCACAAUGGGCGCAAGCCUGAUGCAGCCAUGCCGCGUGUGUGAAGAAGGCUUUCGGGUUGUAAAGCACUUUCAGCGAGGAGGAAAGGUUGUACUUUAAUAGAGUGCAGCUGUGACGUUACUCGCAGAAGAAGCACCGGCUAACUCCGUGCCAGCAGCCGCGGUAAUACGGAGGGGGUUAGCGUUGUUCGGAAUUACUGGGCGUAAAGCGUACGUAGGCGGAUCAGAAAGUAUAGGGUGAAAUCCCAGGGCUCAACCCUGGAACUGCAUUUGAAACUGGUUAACUAGAGUUUUGUAGAGGGUGGUAGAAUUUCAGGUGUAGCGGUGAAAUGCGUAGAGAUCUGAAGGAAUACCAGUG
Molecule: ribosomal RNA, 650 nt
Filed under: uncultured marine bacterium
Lineage: Bacteria
Description: bacterial SSU rRNA
Rfam family: Bacterial small subunit ribosomal RNA
Source: RNAcentral